Molecule: ribosomal RNA, 1372 nt
Filed under: uncultured bacterium
Lineage: Bacteria
Description: bacterial SSU rRNA
Rfam family: Bacterial small subunit ribosomal RNA
Source: RNAcentral
GAUGAACGCUGGCGGCGUGCCUAAUACAUGCGAGUCGAGCGAACGGACGAGAAGCUUGCUUCUCUGAUGUUAGCGGCGGACGGGUGAGUAACACGUGGAUAACCUACCUAUAAGACUGGGAUAACUUCGGGAAACCGGAGCUAAUACCGGAUAAUAUUUUGAACCGCAUGGUUCAAAAGUGAAAGACGGUCUUGCUGUCACUUAUAGAUGGAUCCGCGCUGCAUUAGCUAGUUGGUAAGGUAACGGCUUACCAAGGCAACGAUGCAUAGCCGACCUGAGAGGGUGAUCGGCCACACUGGAACUGAGACACGGUCCAGACUCCUACGGGGGGCAGCAGUAGGGAAUCUUCCGCAAUGGGCGAAAGCCUGACGGAGCAACGCCGCGUGAGUGAUGAAGGUCUUCGGAUCGUAAAACUCUGUUAUUAGGGAAGAACAUAUGUGUAAGUAACUGUGCACAUCUUGACGGUACCUAAUCAGAAAGCCACGGCUAACUACGUGCCAGCAGCCGCGGUAAUACGUAGGUGGCAAGCGUUAUCCGGAAUUAUUGGGCGUAAAGCGCGCGUAGGCGGUUUUUUAAGUCUGAUGUGAAAGCCCACGGCUCAACCGUGGAGGGUCAUUGGAAACUGGAAAACUUGAGUGCAGAAGAGGAAAGUGGAAUUCCAUGUGUAGCGGUGAAAUGCGCAGAGAUAUGGAGGAACACCAGUGGCGAAGGCGACUUUCUGGUCUGUAACUGACGCUGAUGUGCGAAAGCGUGGGGAUCAAACAGGAUUAGAUACCCUGGUAGUCCACGCCGUAAACGAUGAGUGCUAAGUGUUAGGGGGUUUCCGCCCCUUAGUGCUGCAGCUAACGCAUUAAGCACUCCGCCUGGGGAGUACGACCGCAAGGUUGAAACUCAAAGGAAUUGACGGGGACCCGCACAAGCGGUGGAGCAUGUGGUUUAAUUCGAAGCAACGCGAAGAACCUUACCAAAUCUUGACAUCCUUUGACAACUCUAGAGAUAGAGCUUUCCCCUUCGGGGGACAAAGUGACAGGUGGUGCAUGGUUGUCGUCAGCUCGUGUCGUGAGAUGUUGGGUUAAGUCCCGCAACGAGCGCAACCCUUAAGCUUAGUUGCCAUCAUUAAGUUGGGCACUCUAAGUUGACUGCCGGUGACAAACCGGAGGAAGGUGGGGAUGACGUCAAAUCAUCAUGCCCCUUAUGAUUUGGGCUACACACGUGCUACAAUGGACAAUACAAAGGGCAGCGAAACCGCGAGGUCAAGCAAAUCCCAUAAAGUUGUUCUCAGUUCGGAUUGUAGUCUGCAACUCGACUACAUGAAGCUGGAAUCGCUAGUAAUCGUAGAUCAGCAUGCUACGGUGAAUACGUUCCCGGGUCU